GGCUUCAUGAAUCUCAUCUGCAAGAAGAUGAAUCCACUGUGGUUCUUCCUCUUCCUGGUGUCAGCUCCCAGAGGUGUCCUGUCCCAGGUGCAGCUGCAGGAGUCGGGACCCAGCCUGGUGAAGCCCUCACAGACCCUCUCCCUCACCUGCACUGUCUCUGGAUUCUCAUUAAGCAGCAAUGCUGUAUCCUGGGUCCGACAGUCUCCAGGAAAGGGGCUGGAGUGGGUUGGUGUGAUGGAUGAUAGUGGAAGCGCGUAUUACAACCCAGCUCUUAAGUCCCGGCUCAGCAUCACCAGGGACACGUCCAAGAGCCAAGUCUAUUUAUCCCUGAGCAGCCUGACAACUGAAGACACACCCGUGUAUUACUGUGCGAGAGACACACAUCUCCUGGGUCUGAGGAAGGUGGAGUUAUGGGGUGACAUCAGUGAAGUGGGUGUCUCAUUGUUUCUCCUACCCCAGGUGUCCUGUCCCAGGUGCUGGUGCAGGAAUCGGGCCCAGGACUAUUGA
This is a non-coding RNA of Mesoplodon densirostris (Blainville's beaked whale), 507 nucleotides long. Lineage: Eukaryota; Metazoa; Chordata; Mammalia; Artiodactyla; Ziphiidae. The record is from the annotation of a RefSeq genome assembly.